GGGGAGGUAGCUCAGUGGUAGAGCACUUAUCUAGCAGGCAGGGGGCCUUGGGUUCCAUCCCCAGCACCACCA
Molecule: transfer RNA, 72 nt
Filed under: Fukomys damarensis (Damara mole-rat)
Lineage: Eukaryota; Metazoa; Chordata; Mammalia; Rodentia; Bathyergidae
Rfam family: tRNA
About the family: Transfer RNA (tRNA) molecules are approximately 80 nucleotides in length. Their secondary structure includes four short double-helical elements and three loops (D, anti-codon, and T loops). Further hydrogen bonds mediate the characteristic L-shaped molecular structure. tRNAs have two regions of fundamental functional importance: the anti-codon, which is responsible for specific mRNA codon recognition, and the 3' end, to which the tRNAs corresponding amino acid is attached (by aminoacyl-tRNA synthetases). tRNAs cope with the degeneracy of the genetic code in two manners: having more than one tRNA (with a specific anti-codon) for a particular amino acid; and 'wobble' base-pairing, i.e. permitting non-standard base-pairing at the 3rd anti-codon position.
Source: Rfam by way of RNAcentral